Molecule: long non-coding RNA, 2336 nt
Organism: Bos grunniens (domestic yak)
Lineage: Eukaryota; Metazoa; Chordata; Mammalia; Artiodactyla; Bovidae
Source: Ensembl
GGGAGGGGAUGGAGGCUCAAGACAGAGGUGGUAUAUAUACGUGCUAAGUCGCUUUAGCUGUGUCUGACUCUUUGCAGCCCUACAGACUGUAGCACGCCAGGCUCCUCUGUCUAUGGAAUUCUCCAGGCAAGAUACUGGAGUGGGUUGCCAUGCCCUGCUCCAGGGGAUCUUCCUGACCAAGGAAUUGAACCUGUCUCUCAUUAUGUGUCCUGCUUUGGCAGGACGGUUCUUUACCACUAGUGCUACCUGGGAAGCCCAUUAUGUGUAUAAUUAUGGCCUAUCUGUGUUGCUGUAUGACAGAAAUCAACACAGCAUUGUAAAGCAGUUUUCCUCCAAUUAAAAAUAAAUUUAAAAAGAUAAAAAAAUAAAGUAGUACACAAAGGCUUAUAAUGAACAAAAAAUUAUUUCUAUCUUGGUUCACUGCCCAGAGGCAAUAAUAACCUUGAAUUCUUUUAGUGUCAAGCCCCUGGUGGGACUUAGCACCAUGACUCAGAAACUAUGGGUAUGUCUGUGGUUCUUAAUCAACUUCAGUUAUUAUUAAUUCAGAUUUCUGGCUUUGAUAGAUGAGAUUUAAUUUCAUUUCUAUCCUAUACCACCUCAUCUCUCAACUUUGAAAGAUUGUCGUUUUUACUAUAUAUAGUAAAAAUAAUAAAUAGAACUUAAUUAUUUUGGCCUUGUAAAUAGUGUUCUUUUCAGAGCUACACUAAGAUGAUAUUUUAUUUCUUUUUUCCCUGGAGUUUGUAGUUGCCUUUUCUUUUUCUUUUUUCAAACUAUUUGUCUUUGUUGUGUCUAAAAUGUUUUUUCAAGAUUUUUCUUAUGUUACAUAUGUGGUGAAGGUCUUUUUUAUUUUUUCUGAUGACACUUUUCUAAGAUUUCUGCUGGUCCAGUGUACACUGUACAGCUUUAAUCCUUGGAUUUCCCUGAUGGAUGUUGGGGAUUUCACUGGACUUCAGAUUUUCAGGCUCUCUGGGCUUUCUGAAGGCAGAUUGGUUUCCUGGGUGGCUAAUGCCUCUCAUUUCUCAUGUUGUCUUUGCUGGAGUUUUUCCUACCCUGCUUCCUGUUCCCACUUCCUCACCACACUCCUCCAAGGAUUUAUUAAAAUCUAUCUUUAACCCAUGAUUCCUCCUCUUUUAAUUCUUACAGAUCUAUUGCUUUUAAAAUUCCAUCACUGUCAUUUUAAUGGGUUUUUAGGAGGAGAGAAAUGCGUGUACUUAGUCUGCUGUUUUGAACCAGAAGUCCCACUUAAGGUUAAAAAAAGGCUCUUGCAAUUUCUGUCUCUCUGUGUGUCUCUCUCUGUAUUAUUAUUUUCACUUAGGUGUAAUCUAGUGAUUGAUGACACUACUGUUAGAUAAAGCUAGAUAGAACUUAGUGCUUAUAUGCCACAGUGAAUAUCAUCAGGGUUCAUUCAUCCUGAAGUUUACCUAGGGGUUCAUAAUGCUGCUUCAUGCUUUUUAACUGUUGGAGCCAUCUACAUUUUGGUAAUAUCAUUUAGUGCUUUUCAGUGAUUAUGUAUGCCAUUCCCUGGUGGCUCAGACAGUAAAGAAUCUGCCUGCAAUGCAGUGGGUUCAAUUCCUGGGUCAGAAAGAUUCCCUGGAGGAGGGUAUGGAAACCCAUUCCAGUAUUCUUGCCUGGAGAAUCCCAUAGAUGGAGGAGUCUGGGGUGGCAAAGAGUUGGACACAACUGAGUGACUAAUACUUUCACUUUCAAUGGUUAUAUAUGAGGAGGGUGUGACUUUAUAAAGUGAUGAAACAUAGGAGAGCAAUUUUAUUAAAUUAUACAAUAUGGACAUAGAUGUAUAAGACCAUAAUUUAUCUGAUUCCUGAAGACUUUGUUUAUCUGCCUGACUUUUUUUUUUGUAUCAUGGACAUCUUCCUUUGAGCCAUUUUCAAAUUUAAACUAGAGCUGGGACUUCUACUUUUUUUUUUUCUCUUUUUUAAAAAUUAAUUUAUUUAUUUUAAUUGAAGGCUGAUUACUUUACAGUAUUGUAGUGGUUUUUGCCAUACAUUGACUUCUGAUACUAUAAUUUCGAGUGAAUGCUGGUUUCUGUCUGCUCACUUUGAGCAGAUAGGGAACCUGAAAAUCACGCAUGCUCUAUUCCUGUUUUUCCCUUGUUGUUGUUGUUUGGUUGCUAAGUCAUGUUCAACUCUUUGCAACCCUAUGCACUGUAGCCUGCCAGGCUUCUCUGUCUGUGGGAUUUCUCAGGCAGGAAUACUGGAGUGGGUUGCCAUGUCCUUCUCCAAGGUAUCUUCCCGACCCAGGGAUUGAAUCGUGUCUCCUGUACUGGCAGGCAGAUUCUUUACUGCUGAGCCAAGGUCACCUCUUCUCCAGAAACUUUC